GUGAUUUAUUGGCAACUAUCUGUCAUACUAUCCAAUAUUAUUUUUUAAUUUGUAAUAUAGUUCAGUAGACUAGGGUAGUGAUUUAAAGGCAAGUCCUCUUUCUUGGAAUCAUGGCUCCCUGCUCACUGACCAUCUGAGCAAGAAUGAUGUCCUGAGGUUCCUAAAUUUCUUCUUUCUUCCUCUGUAGAAUGGUGACAAUAAUAGCUCCUACAUCUCCUGUGGUUGUUUUGUAGCCCCAUGAGAUAAUGCCUUCCAGUGCAGAUCACAACUCCCUUCACACUGGUUCUGUUAAAUGGCUCUGCAAAUAGUUCUAAUAUAUAGCCAUGAUUGAGAACCUCUAGCAUAAUGCAAAGGCAAAGAAGUUAGAACAAAAUAGACUGUUAGGGAUGCUUAGGUGUUGGGAAGAAUGUGUAACAGAGGGAGGAGAAACUGAAAGUCAUUAUAGUAUGUAUUGUAUAUAUAUUGUGUAAUAACAGGGUGAAAUGUUGGUAUUUCAUCUUAUUAAGCAUAACAGAAACCGAAAUUUUAUAGUUUGAAGAUGCAGCCUGACAUGAGGAAGUUAGUACAUCAGGAAUUGUGGGGGACAGUCUUGAUUGGAAGGAAGAGAUGGAGUUCAGAAAUAGUAUGGGAUCAGGAGCACUGUGGAAAUUGCAAAGAAAGGAUGAGUGUGAGGUGAAGCACAAAGGAAGAGUUGGUAGGAUUUAAGACCUUAGUGGACAUAAGAGCUUAGGGAGAUUGAGGGAAGAAAAAUAAAGUUAAGCUUUUAAUCUAGGAAGACUAAAGAAAUAGCUGCUAUGUUGGUUAAGAUUAUAUUUAACUGUGAGUAUCAGACCAAUCAACAGUGGCCUAAACAAAACAGAAGAUUUUAUCUUCACCAGUUAAAAGUCCAAAAGUGGACAAUUCAAAGCCAGUAAGGCAAUUCUGCUCCACAAAGUCCUUGGAGAUCCAGACUCCUGCUAUCCCUUCCCAUGGUGCCAGAGAGCAUUUCUUGGGUUCCAGCAUCCACAUGGAGAAGAACUGGUAAAAUGCAAGAGCCAGGGUCAUUGGAGGGAGAUUUCUUUAGCCAUUCAUCAUGUUCAUGUACAUUCCUUUGUUCAUAAAUUUGUCUCAUGGCUAUACCUAGUUGCAAUAGAAUCUAAGAAGUAUGGUCUUUAUUUUCUAAGUAAGCUUAUAUCCAGAUAAAAAUUCUAUAGUCAAAGUAGAUUGUUUCUAUACAAGAAGAGGAAUUCAGAUACUAGAGAAGAGCUAAGUCUGCACAGUUACCUCUUUUUUUUAAAUAGUGAACUUGAAUCAUAGGGUUCAUUUGGGAAAAUAUUUUUAAUAUGUUGAAUUGGAAAUAUGUGGCAUAAUUUGUUAUGGUUAGUUGUCCCCCAAGAGCCUCCCGUGCUCAUAGGCAGGGCUUUUGGAAGAGGAGUGGACCAUGAGGGCCCAUAGCUGACUGACUGUUAGGAGGUGGAGCCUGGUCAGAAGAGGUGGGUCACUGUGGGAGGUGUAGCCUAGAAGGGUGCAUCUCCCUCCCUGGUUCUUUCCUUCUUUCUCUGCUUCCUGCCUGCCAUGACAUGAGCAGCUUUCCUCCAAGGGCCCUUCCCUAUGCUCUUUCUGGCUUGAACCCAGCUGAAUAUGGACUGAAACUUCUACAAACUGUGAGCCAAAAUAAACUUUUCCUCCUUUAAGUUGUGGAUGUCAGAUAUUGUGUCUCAGCAAUGAGAAAAGUGAUUAAGACAGAAUUUUUAAAUGAUCCCAUGAUUCCUGGCUCCUGUUGUAUACACCUUUCUAAUGCCUACCACGAAUGAGGCCAGGGAAUAUGAUGGGAGCUUUCAAGGAGACAUUAAGAAUGGUGUGGUAAGGAUGAAAGUCAAAUGCAAGAAGUGAACAAGGAAAUGACCAAUGGAAAGAAAAGAAGCAGCUGUCAACCUGGAAAAGUCAGCAUAGCACACAAAAUCCUCCAUGAGCUAGCCACAGUCUCCCUCUCCAGAACUUUCUUCUGCCAAUCUCUUCCUCUCAUAUCUUAUUUCAAUUUUACCAACUGCUCCACACCUGCUGGUCUUGCCUCUGUGCCACCCGGAAUGUGUUUCACUUGUUCCCUUUGGUGUAAUUAACUCCUGCACAACUUCCCAAGCUCAGUUCAAACAUUGUCUUAGACGUAAUCUUCUCUAAACCUCAAGGGCAGUCAGGUGUCACUCUGUGAUGCUCUGUUGAUGCUCCAAGCCUCCCUCCAUUCCUGAAUUUGUCAUAUUUUUAGAAUUUUACAGUUCAGUAUGAGUUUGUCUCCUUUGUGAGCUCCUGGAAGCUAAGCACAGUCUUUGUAGCCACAGAAUGUAGCACAACUCCUGAUGCAGUGAACUCUCAAAUAUGCAGGCAGCAGAUUUAAAAAGAUCUCUCAAGAGCUGGUAUCAAGGGAACGUAGGACAAGGGGCAUUUAUUCUAGGACUGGUAGACAGAAUGAGAGGACAAAUAAGGAAGGAGAUACUUUAAAUGAGGACUCCUUGUAAUCAGGUUCCACUUAUCACAUCCCAGUAAGAUGUUUAUUGGCAUUUUUAAUAAUCAAGAUCUAGUGAAUGUUAGUUUAGAGUUUAGAAAUAUAAUCUUGUUAAUAAGACAGGAUGAGGAGGUAAUGGUGAGACAAGGUUUUUUACUUCCAAAGCAAAAAGAAUCUGAACUGACAAGAGAAAAACAAACAAAAACAAAGGCAACAAUAAAGUUGGCAUUCAAUCCAUAAAUUAACUACAAAUCUCAACUGGAAUAGAGGGCUAUCAAAUUCUGAAUGGAACCUCAGUGCUCCUUUUCUCCUGGGCACCCCUCCCCAGUUCAAUUCAAUUUAGUUUAACAAGUAUUGAUUGGUCACCUAAUGUGUUCUUAGAGUACUCUCCACUGCAGGAGACCAGGCAUUGAGGAUGCAGCUAUGAAGAGGACAAACAUAGGCUCCAUGCUCACAGAUGAAGUAUGAUGAAUUAACCAGGUACAGUAGUUGCAAGUUCAAGGAAAGUGGUUGUAGGAGACUCCUUUGUUCUCUUGGAUCACAUUCUUUAAACCCAUCUCUGAUUUCAGCUACAGAUUUUGGAGGCAGUGCUGGACAAGCCCAAAUCUGUCACUUGCUGACAACAUCCUCCUUGAAGCUUAUGCACUGCCAAGUUUUCAUUUCUGCCUCUCUAGUUCUGUGGGAGCCCUCUUGGAAAUGUGAAGGAGAGGGAGUUCUGGAAGAGAUAGUCCCUACUAACCUGAAAACUUUCUACAAAACUGUGAGCCAUAUUCUUCACCCUUCCUCCUACCCCAUAUUCCUCACCCUUCCUCCUAUCCUGUCUCUCCCCACUCCUGUGCUUCUGAUUUGCAUGAUCACAUCCCCAUUACAUGACCUGUACAAAGUCUAUGGCUCAUUAGGGGACCUAACUAAAUACAGUGAAAUUUCAAGGAGCUAUGAGAAGAUGUAAUAAGGAGAUUUAACCUGGUUGGAUUUCCUAAGGUCUCCUUAAAAAGAUCUUAUAAAGUGAUGUCUAAGAUGACACUUAAAGAACAGAUAGCAGUUCUCCCAGAUAAAGAGGUAAAGGAUGGAUGUGCACAGAACCUGACAUGUGCAAGGCCCAAAGUCUACCCUGGGCAUGAUAUCUUUGAAGAGCUUAAAGAAGACCACAGAGACUGUUGCAAAAGUGAAAUGAGGUGAGACUUGAGUGCUGAGCAGGGUGUCUUGGAGAACCUUGCAGUCAUGGUAAGGAUUUUGGAUUUCAUCCUAAGGCAAUGGGUAAUAACUGAAGGCUUUAAGUAUCCUUGAAACAUAUUUAUAUUUUUUUAAAAGAUUGUGUUGGCUACAUUAUAAAGAGUGAGAGGAUCAGGGGAGAUGUGAAGACCACUCAAAUAGUUCAGAGGCUAAGAAGUAAUCCAGGGGAGCAUAGCUAAACCUCAUGGCAGAGGGGAUGGGGAGGGCUGAGGUGUUAAGAGGCAGCACAAGAGCCCGGGUGUUUGGUUAGAUGUGGUGAUGAGGGAGGAGAACAAGACAAGGAUGAGGCUCAGGCUUCUGAUUCUAAAAAGUAGAAUAGGAACAGAUAAAUACUGAUGGCUCAAGGAUCAUUUUCCUCUUUUUUGUUAACAGUUGGCAGGCUUGGUAGGUCUGAGUCAGCUCAAGGGAAGACAGGCUCAGCACAGUGCUGAGCUCAGAGCAGCCCCUUUCUAGCAUGACCACUUCCUUGCAUGGCACAGGGUUGCUCCAUUGUCCCUGCACCCUCCCACUGUCUCUAUAAAUAGGGAUCGCAGUCCCUCCUGACCAAAGGGUUCCAGCCUCAUCUUUAGAUGUCUCCAUCAAUAUCUGUGAAACAGAGUCUAGAAAAAAAGACUAAAAAAGCUAUCUUUAUUUAGCCUGGAGAAGCGAGGGAGGGAGAGCUGUGAUAUUGCUAGGAAUAAACUACUGCUUUUAUCUUUUCCUCCUAAGGAGGACAGAGGAGGUGGACUUAGGAUCCAGUUACAGAAUUGAUUCUCAGUCCAGAAGGGAGGGGGAUCUCCCAACCCUAACUCCGAGGACAUUCUGCAAUGUCAGGAGUGAGCACCCGACUGCUGAUGUGAGACUGUCCAAAAGUCCCUUCCUGGCACUGCCACCAGUAACAUUCAAGAUGUCAGCUGUCCCCUUGUUCUGGAUCCCUGAGUGGCCACCAUUCUUGGUACCUCUGGCAACCCCUGAUGGAGAUGUAAUGUAGGUGAAAUAAACCUGUGUUGUUUUCAGAGAAAGAGAGAGAGUACUUGGUCACUACCUUUCACAUACUCAUAUGCUCAGCCUUACUGUCUAUGACAUUGCAGUCUGCUAUGUUUGUUAGCUGAAUUUGUUUCCUGUAAUUUAGAAAAACAAAUGAGUUGAAGCAUUUCAUAUUUGAACCAAUCACUGAACUUAAAUGUUGAUAUGACUGAUCUUGUUUUUACAGGUUGGGGUCUUGAUAGUAGAAUAAGGGGCCUCUUCACCUGCUGAGAGGGAAGUACUUCUUCUGCAAGCUGUUUAAGUACCACCCAUCUCUUUAUUCCUUGUGGAAUGCUCUAAAGGCUGACAACAGCUUUGGAAAAGCAAUUCACAGUGGUUAAUAACAGCAGUGAGUGAAAGAGGAGAGUAAAACCCUAAGAGGAGUUGACAGGAAUUUUCUCAAUUAGGAGACAGGAGCUUAAAUGGACACAGCUUCUGAACCUCCUUUAUUCAUUGGCAAAUAUUCAUUAAGCACUUACUAUGUGUUCUGCCCAGAUGGAGCUUAUGUUGAUGGGGAGUGGGGGGGGGGGUCACAGGCAAUACGCAACUAAACUAAAGUGCAAUAAAGGAAGUAAUGAGGAACGAGAUGGAAUAAAGGAGGGGAGAAGAGGCAGACAGGGAAGCCUCUCUGAAGCGACGGCCCUUGAGCUGCAAACUUUGUCUGCAGAGAGCCAGUGAGCACCGCUUUAGGCUUUGUAGGCCACACAAUCUCUGCUGCAAACUUGCAGCUUAUGAAACAGUCAAUACAUAAGCAAAUGAGUGUGGCUGAAUUUCAAUAAAACUCCACUUAUGGGCAAUAAAAUCUGAAUCUCAUAAUAUUUUGUGUCACAAACUAUUAUUCUCCUGAAUUUUCCCCACCAUUUAAUAACGUAAAAAUCAUCUUUAGCUCAUGUGAACUAUAUGAAAUCAGGCAGCAGCCACAAGUUAGCCUGCAACCAAACCCCUGAUGUAGGUUCCCAAUUCAAAUAACUCAGAUCAAUACAUCAUUUAAGAGGCAUUUGCAAAGUAAUCCAUCAGGAAGCAGUGAAGGCUUGAUGUGAUGCUUGCAGUGGCGGGAGGGAAGGGAAGGAUUCCAGGUGUUUGGGGCUGGGCCCAGCUAUGCCUAUGUACAUGACAUGGAAGUAAACAGGAGAGGAGCCAGGAGGACUCCAUGGUGGUGCCAUUUGUUGCAGGGGAACAGCUAGGAGGUGAGGUCCGGAGGGAACAGUGGGUUUCUACAUGCAUCCUAAUGUAUUAGCUAGACUUGAUUUGGAGCUAGAAAACAGGACAUCUCCACACCUGGAUUUUUCCAAAGCCUGUUGCUUCUAUGCUGUGUGACCUUAGGCAAGUCAUUUAUGUUCAAUCCUUCUUCUUGUGUCAGUAACGGAGAGAAUAUUUUCUCCUCUCUCCGUUCUAUAUGGUGGUGAGAAGCAAGUGAGCCUUCACUGGCACCUGGUGAGGCUUUCCUUCCAGUCUCAGCCCCUCACCACCCCAUCUCCCCAUCUGCCCCAAACCCAAGUCCAGGUGAAUUUCUGGGUGAAUCUUUACAUUUGGUGGGGGAGUGGUCACAUCACUCAUUCACUGCAUAGCAAAACUGUCUGCAAAUCCCUGUUAAGCUUCUCUUCUUUUUAUGAAGUCCUCUCUGCUGCAGCUAACUUCAACCUUUCAUGCCUCAACCUUCCAGGGCCUUGCCACUUUUUCUUUUUUCUUUUCCCUCUCCUAUGGUCACCCUUUCCUUACUCUCUCACAUUGCAUAGUCAAAAACCCCUCAAAAGAAUCACACUCGUAGUUUAAGUAAAACUGGGGAACUAGAAUAAGAUUGAUAUAUUGUAUCAAUGCCACCUGCCUGGUUGUAAUAUUGUAACUAUAUCCUUAAAAGAUGUUACCAUUGAGGAGAAAAGGGCAAAGAGCACAAGUAAUCUCUCCCUACUGUUUCUUUAAAAUGCAUGUGAAUCUAUAGUGGUCUCAAAAUAAAAACAAAAUAGAACACAAAAACAAAAACCAAAGUACCAUGACUUAUAAGCCUCACUCAACAAGUCUGAAGCUAGCUAGGACUUGGGACCAGAAUUCCCUCAACAGGUGCAUUAAACUAUUUUCUCUACUUUUAUCUAUGUCUGAAAUUUUUAUUAAAUGAAAGUUAACAAAUAUACCCCUCGCUAGUCAAACAAAUCACCCAUUUUUCAAACUUGAGGGACUUUAAUUUACCCCACUAUAGAAACAAGAAAAUUAGUUUUGAAGUGCACCCAAGUGAAGAACUGUGUUCUGUGACCCCAGCAUGUACCAAGCACAACCUUGCACCAGACUCCAUGAUUAAAAGCCCGGAGAUUCAGGCGACUCCAAGCCUUGAUCUGUUUGACAGGCACUCCAAUCUUCGCCUUCACCUUGAACAUCAUCUCCUGGCUUCCAGCACAGACUCUUAGCCUUCCAGUGUGGAUCCUUCAGCCUUCCAGAGUAGACUCUUCAGCCUUCCAUCACAGACCCAUUUGCCUCCUGACACAGACUCGAAAGGGACACUGCAGUGAUCUCCAGACCUUCGGCUGAAUCCUUUGGUCUUCAGUGUGCAGACAGACCCUCUGGGCUCUUCCUCAUCUGGCUCUGUGAGUGGCCAAUGCAUAGAAUUCCUGGGACUUCCUCUUCUGCAAGCAGCAGCCUACAUACGCUGACAAAUCUUGUUGCCACAUUUGUGUCUAUCCUGUGGGAAACACAGAUUCUCUUGCAUAGCUGAGAUUGCAGGAAGUAAGUGAAAUCUCUAAGGGACCAAGCGAGUUGAAACUACUGAAGGGAUAAUCAUACAGAAGAGACAAGUUUGCCCUGAAUGCCAAUGUCUAUACACACAAUGCAGCAAGUUCAAUUUUGCAAGACCAAAUGUUGGGCUAACAACAAGGAGAAGCUAAACCAAGACUCCUACAAUAAGCUGGCACCCAGUAAGAUGGCUAGUGAUUAAUGUGGUGCAUAACUUGACACCCAGAAAAAGCAAAUAUAAACCUCCUCUGAAUUAAGGCCCAGAAUCUCCCACAGAUUGAUAUCUAUCUAUGUGAAUGCAUAAUCAACAGUCACCAAAGACACAAAUAACAGACUUCCAGAGCAAGAGCCAAGAGAAACAACCAAUAACAGCAUUAGGUCUACAAGAAUAUCAGAUAUUGGAAAAAUCAGCAAUGUGACAAUUCAGCUUAAUUGUGUCAACUUGAUUGGUUUGUGAGCUGCCCAAAGGAUUAAUAAAGUACAUUUCUAGCUGUGUCUGAGUAGGUCAUGGAGGUGUGAUCUGGUCCCUCGCUCCUUCCUCUCUGGCACUGUUCCCCUCCUCUGCUUCCCCACCACCACAAACAAAGCAUCUUUACU
Heterocephalus glaber (naked mole-rat) is the source of this 8035-nucleotide non-coding RNA. The record is from RefSeq and is a predicted model, not a curated record. Lineage: Eukaryota; Metazoa; Chordata; Mammalia; Rodentia; Bathyergidae.